ACGCUCGACACCUACGGAGGCAGCAGUGGGGAAUAUUGCACAAUGGGGGGAAACCCUGAUGCAGCAACGCCGCGUGAAGGAAGACGGUUUUCGGAUUGUAAACUUCUGUUCUUAGUGAAGAUAGUGACGGUAGCUAAGGAGCAAGCCACGGCUAACUACGUGCGAGCAGCCGCGGUAAUCUGAGCGGGCUGGCAAGGC
RNAcentral lists this ribosomal RNA (198 nucleotides) under uncultured bacterium. Its description in RNAcentral is "partial 16S ribosomal RNA". It matches the Rfam family "Bacterial small subunit ribosomal RNA", at positions 328 to 539 of the family's 1533-position model. The record is from RNAcentral.